UACAGAGGGGGCAAGCGUUGUUCGGAAUUACUGGGCGUAAAGCGCACGUAGGCGGCUUUGUAAGUUAGAGGUGAAAGCCCGGGGCUCAACUCCGGAACUGCCUUUAAGACUGCAUCGCUUGAAUCCGGGAGAGGUGAGUGGAAUUCCGAGUGUAGAGGUGAAAUUCGUAGAUAUUCGGAAGAACACCAGUGGCGAAGGCGGCUCACUGGCCCGGUACUGACGCUGAGGUGCGAAAGCGUGGGGAGCAAACAGG
This 253-nucleotide ribosomal RNA is filed under the name uncultured bacterium. RNAcentral's name for it is "partial 16S ribosomal RNA". It matches the Rfam family "Bacterial small subunit ribosomal RNA", at positions 524 to 776 of the family's 1533-position model. The record is from RNAcentral.